RNAcentral lists this transfer RNA (77 nucleotides) under Candidatus Jidaibacter acanthamoebae. RNAcentral's name for it is "Candidatus Jidaibacter acanthamoeba tRNA-Arg". It matches the Rfam family "tRNA". Rfam says of the family: Transfer RNA (tRNA) molecules are approximately 80 nucleotides in length. Their secondary structure includes four short double-helical elements and three loops (D, anti-codon, and T loops). RNAcentral also lists the same sequence under 2 other names. The record is from RNAcentral. Lineage: Bacteria; Pseudomonadati; Pseudomonadota; Alphaproteobacteria; Rickettsiales; Candidatus Midichloriaceae.
GCAUUCGUAGCUCAGCUGGAUAGAGCGUUGCCCUCCGGAGGCAAAGGUCGUGGGUUCAAAUCCCUCCGAAUGCGCCA